Molecule: unclassified non-coding RNA, 222 nt
Filed under: plant metagenome
Description: partial contains small subunit ribosomal RNA and internal transcribed spacer 1
Source: RNAcentral
AAGUCGUAACAAGGUUUCCGUAGGUGAACCCGCUGGCAGGAAUCGGAUUAACGAAUUUAAAGGCAAUUUCAGGCCGGCCAAUUCGGCGGCCAAGUUUCCUUCCAACCCCCUUUUUGUAAUACCGAAACCAUGUUGCUUUGGCAGGCCCCUGCAUUUCUCGGGCCUGCCAGAGGUUAUAAACCCUAGAAUCUCUGCUGUCUGAGUACUAUACAAUAGUUAAAA